AUGUGUGAUAAAUGUGAACGCUGGAAGCAUCAAAUUUGUGCCCUUUUUAAUUUCAAAAGGGGUGAUUCUAAAGAAGCAAAAUGUACUUGCCCUAAAGUGUUGUUCUUGGGGCUAAAGAUCUGCCAAGGGCCGUGCUUAGCAAUCAUAUACAAGAACAACUCUUUAAACCGUUCAGGGAAGAGAGACACUAACAGGCCAUUCAUAAUGGGAAAAGCUUUGAUGAGGUUAGCGUUGCCUCAUCAAAUUCACAGAAUCUUACUUCUUUCCUGA
RNAcentral lists this ribosomal RNA (270 nucleotides) under Triticum aestivum (bread wheat). Its description in RNAcentral is "partial small subunit ribosomal RNA". Lineage: Eukaryota; Viridiplantae; Streptophyta; Magnoliopsida; Poales; Poaceae. The record is from RNAcentral.